GCGCUCGUGGCAUAUUGGUUGUGCUCCAGCCUUCCAAGCUGGCUAAGCAGGUUCGAUUCCUGUCGGGCGCU
RNAcentral lists this transfer RNA (71 nucleotides) under Mycobacterium phage Myrna. It matches the Rfam family "tRNA". From Rfam's summary of the family: Transfer RNA (tRNA) molecules are approximately 80 nucleotides in length. Their secondary structure includes four short double-helical elements and three loops (D, anti-codon, and T loops). Lineage: Duplodnaviria; Heunggongvirae; Uroviricota; Caudoviricetes. The record is from Rfam by way of RNAcentral.